ACCUGCGGAAGGAUCAUUAUUGAAAUAAACCUGAUGGGUUGUUGCUGGUUCUCUAGAGAGCAUGUGCACACCUUGUCAUCUUUAUAUCUCCACCUGUGCACCUUUUGUAGACCCCUGGUCUAUGUUGCUUCAUUUACCCCAAUGUAUGUUAAUAGAAUGUAUGUGCCUAUAAAAUAUAUACAACUUUCAGCAACGGAUCUCUUGGCUCUCGCAUCGAUGAAGAACGCAGCGAAAUGCGAUAAGUAAUGUGAAUUGCAGAAUUCAGUGAAUCAUCGAAUCUUUGAACGCACCUUGCGCUCCUUGGUAUUCCGAGGAGCAUGCCUGUUUGAGUGUCAUUAAUAUAUCAAAACCACUUCUUUGUUGAAGUGGGUUUGGAUGUGGGGGUUUGCUGGCCUCUUAAAGGGUCAGCUCCUCUGAAAUGCAUUAGCAGAACGACCUCUGUUCAUUGGUGUGAUAACUAUCUACGCUAUUGAAUGGUCAAGGCAGUUCAGCUUCCUAACCGUCCUUGGACAAUUUAUCAUUUAUUGAC
RNAcentral lists this ribosomal RNA (529 nucleotides) under Cortinarius urbicus. RNAcentral describes it as "eukaryotic LSU rRNA". The stretch from base 182 to 335 matches the Rfam family "5.8S ribosomal RNA". Lineage: Eukaryota; Fungi; Basidiomycota; Agaricomycetes; Agaricales; Cortinariaceae. The record is from RNAcentral.